This 465-nucleotide unclassified non-coding RNA is filed under the name Hevea brasiliensis (rubber tree). Lineage: Eukaryota; Viridiplantae; Streptophyta; Magnoliopsida; Malpighiales; Euphorbiaceae. The record is from RNAcentral.
CUGCAAGGGUUACAGUUCAGUGACAAAUUUAACAAGUUUAAAUGCAUGGAACAUGCUAAAUUUCAGCCUUUCUGACAAGUUAUUACUACUACCAUCCCAAAAGUAUAAUAAAUCAAAAUAAAAAUACAUAUUUAUACAAACACCUCCAUAGACAUAAACGGAUACAUGAGAGGAAUCUCCAUGCACAUGAUUGUCAAUAAUUUUUCUUAAUUAUUUUUAAAGCAUCAGUUAUAAUUUUAUGUUAACACACCUUUGAGAGACAAUGUUUCCUUUCUGUUUUAGUGCUAAAGACAAAUCAAUAGCUUUGUUGUUCUGAUAGAUGUUAAAACACAUGUAUGUAAAACCAUUCUGUUAUCCCUUAUAUUACAAGAUCAAAAUGAUUAAAAGAAACUAAGAAGGAAACGUGUGUUGAGCUAAGACAACUCACUGGCCACAUCAAAGACAAUUACAGCAACAGAAGAAUCU